GACGGAGGAUGCAAGUGUUAUCCGGAAUCACUGGGCGUAAAGCGUCUGUAGGUGGUUUAAUAAGUCAACUGUUAAAUCUUGAGGCUCAACCUCAAAAAUCGCAGUCGAAACUAUUAGGCUAGAGUAUAGUAGGGGUAAAGGGGAAUUUCCAGUGGAGCGGUGAAAUGCGUAGAGAUUGGAAAGAACACCGAUGGCGAAGGCACUUUACUGGGCUAUUACUAACACUCAGAGACGAAAGCUAGGGUAGGCAAAUGGGG
This 257-nucleotide ribosomal RNA is filed under the name uncultured bacterium. Its description in RNAcentral is "partial 16S ribosomal RNA". It matches the Rfam family "Bacterial small subunit ribosomal RNA", at positions 524 to 777 of the family's 1533-position model. The record is from RNAcentral.